Molecule: long non-coding RNA, 2574 nt
Organism: Oreochromis niloticus (Nile tilapia)
Lineage: Eukaryota; Metazoa; Chordata; Actinopteri; Cichliformes; Cichlidae
Exons: 3
Source: RefSeq, a predicted model, not a curated record
GUUUUGUGUGUAUAGCCGUUUCUGUGUGUAUAUGUAGUCCUGUCAUUGCUUUGAUCUCACUCUCUCUUUGGUCACUUGUGCGAUUCUCUCUGUGUCCUUGAGGACUUUCUGUGUCUUUGCUUUUUGGACAUAAUCUUUUCCUUUGUGGACCUUUUUUUUUUUAAAAUUUAAUCCUGCUUGUCUCCUGAGUCUGCAAUUGGGACCUUAUCAUGCAAAUCCUGACAAGCACAAGACUUAGUAUUUUGCUACUGGUUAUGGUUUUUGUGAUUUAUUUAUUUUGCCGAAAGUUUUUUCCCUAAAUUCUUCAACCUUUGAAUUGUACUACAGUGACAGUGUGUGCUACCUUAGAGACAUAAUUAUCUGUGGUCUUUCACACAAUUCAGUUGAUGAAAAUCAUUUUUUGUUAAAUUUUAAAUUAUUUGAUUCAUUUGCACAACCACAGUUGGGACUCAAGGUGCCCUGCAUAGCUUUACUCUAUUUCAGAGAAAGCCUUUUUAAUUAAGCUCAUAGGAGUUGAUAUCAGAAUCUCUGAGGAUAAUUGGCAUCGAUGUCUUGUGUUACGAACUGUGGAAGGUGUUUCAGCAACAAUAUCUGGUGUCCAGGUGUGUCCCCCUAGGCUUUUAUCCCUGCGUGUCGGAUGUCUUCCAGUCCAGUUGGAGGUUUUCCUCUUCUUCUAAAGCAGAUUGCUGCUUUGCUCAGCAGCCUCCCAUAGUGACUUGAUGGCUUUUCAGAAGGCCUGUUCACAAACCCUGAUUCUCUUCGGGAGCCUUGUUGUUAAUGUGGCCAAAAAUGCUCUGCAUUCCACAUCUACUGUACAGGGAACACCUCGGUACAACAGCCACGUUUUUCUGCCUUGGCUACUUUGUCUGUCUAUUUUAGCCUUUUGUGUUUGUAUGCUUCACCCACUGCAUCCUCCCAUGGUGCCACUUCUGCAAGGUUGACCACAAGAUCAGGAUCUGAGUAGUAGUUAAAUAACAAUAGACACAAAGUCCACUGCAAAUGCCGAUAGACUAUAAAUUGCAAUUAACCAGGCAUAUCCCGAACAGGUCGCCAGUUUAUUACGGGGCUAACACAGAGAGGCAGACAACCAUUCACCGACAGCCAAUUUAGAAUCACCAGUGACCCUCCCAUGCACAUCUUUGGACUGUGCGAGGAAAACAAAGGACCUGGAGAGUAUGCAAACUUCACACAGAAUUUGCUCUUGGAUCUUCUUGCUAUGAGCCCCUCCUCUAAUAACCUCAGAUGGCCAGUUUCCACUGAAGCGAGGGCAGAUCUAUUGUGCCACAGAAUGUGCUGAAGGGUUUCUGGGUCGAUGAGCUCGCACAGCUGAGAUGGAGAGAAGGAAAGAGGACAGCCAGAACAAACUGGGUUUCCUUAAACUCCUUCGGGACAACUGACAAUUUCUUCUAAGAACAUGAAUGUGAAACUUGGAAAAUGAAAAGCCGCAUCAUUUUUAGACUAAGUGCCUUGAUAAUUCUUUCUGCAAUAUGGUCAGCUGCAGAGCCAACAUUAGAACCGCAGCUGUCGCUUUAUUAGAAAACAGUGGCACAGGGUGCUCAUUGUCUCCUCGGAGCUACUUGCUCAGCAAGUUACAUCUCUGCAUAUGAACAGCUUCCUGCUCAGUGAAAUAUACAAGCCCUGAGGCAAAACACCAGCUUGACCCAAUCUUUAGCAUUAUUUUCUUAAAUGUAGUAGACAGAAAGUGUUGUAAGGAUUUCCACAAAUUAUGCACAUGACAGCAAUUAUCUCAUUAUGUCAAGUGCAGUAUCUUUUUGCUUAAUUAGACCCAUUGAAAAAUACAGUCACACAGCAAAACACUGAUGUUUCCACCUGAAAACUACCACUAACGAAGUAAAAGAGUAAUAAAACACAUUCAGAUUUUAUAUGAAAAUCAGAAAAUCCUAGAAGCAUUCCUACUGCACUCCCUGCUUUACAUCUACAUUACCUACAAUAUGAGACAUGCAGCUUUUUAAUUCCACUUGUUAAAUUGCAGCUAUGCACCACGAUUGCAAUCUCACAUUUGCUGUUAGAAGGCCUUGAUAUGAAAUGGUCUCUGAAGAAAUUGUGCCUGUAUGGUUAGCUAGCUUUGCAAGUAUUGGUGUGAACGCUUUGUUCGGCUGAUAAAGAGGAGCAGCCACAAUCCUGUGUGAAAAGCCAAUCCCUAAUCUGACCGUCCUUCACAGGUUCUAACACCUGCGGUCCAUGAUGCUGUAGAACACAUUACAGAGCUGAGUUAUUUUCUCAUAUUUGUUGACUCUGAAACUCUGACAGGCUGCUGCUGACUAAAUUAAACAGGGUUGCCUUCCUUCUGUACAGAGAUUUGCAGAUGUGUGUGUGAAAGAGAGGCAAUGCUCUGCAGGAAAGCAGAAAAAAGUCAUCAUCAAAGCAGUUUUUUGAAUUUAUUGUACGAGAAUAUUUAUUUAUAAUUGUUUUUUAAAACGUGAUAGCAUUUUGUGUUGCUGCAUUUUGAGUGUGCUGGUGGAAGGGUGAAGUGGAAGGGAGAUUUCAUUCUGGCACAUUAAGCUGUUUAUAUUGUUGCUGUGUUUGGAUCACCUACUCUGAAGAGGAAAACAU